This 253-nucleotide ribosomal RNA is filed under the name uncultured bacterium. Its description in RNAcentral is "partial 16S ribosomal RNA". It matches the Rfam family "Bacterial small subunit ribosomal RNA", at positions 524 to 776 of the family's 1533-position model. The record is from RNAcentral.
UACGGGGGGUGCGAGCGUUGUCCGGAAUCACUGGGCGUAAAGGGUGCGUAGGCGGGUCUUUAAGUCAGGGGUGAAAUCCUGGAGCUCAACUCCAGAACUGCCUUUGAUACUGAAGAUCUUGAGUUCGGGAGAGGUGAGUGGAACUGCGAGUGUAGAGGUGAAAUUCGUAGAUAUUCGCAAGAACACCAGUGGCGAAGGCGGCUCACUGGCCCGAUACUGACGCUGAGGCACGAAAGCGUGGGGAGCAAACAGG